UUAGAGUUUGAUCAUGGCUCAGGACGAACGCUGGCGGCGCGCCUAACACAUGCAAGUCGAACGGAGACACUCCGUUCACUGAGUGGUAGAAGGCGAAAUGCUAGAAAUUAAGAAGCGUUGCGCUUCUACUGUUGAGUGAACGGAGUGUCUUAGUGGCGGACGGGUGAGUAACGCGUGAGCAACCUGCCUUACAGCGCGGAAUAACACAUCGAAAGGUGUGCUAAUACCGCAUAAUGUGCCGAGACCGCAUGGUUUUGGCACCAAAGAUUUAUCGCUGUAAGAUGGGCUCGCGUCCGAUUAGAUAGUUGGUGAGGUAACGGCUCACAAAGUCGACGAUCGGUAGCCGGACUGAGAGGUUGAACGGCCACAUUGGGACUGAGACACGGCCCAGACUCCUACGGGAGGCAGCAGUGGGGGAUAUUGCACAAUGGGCGAAAGCCUGAUGCAGCGACGCCGCGUGAGGGAACGACGGUCUUCGGAUUGUAAACCUCUGUCUUCGGGGACGAUAAUGACGGUACCCGAGGAGGAAGCUCCGGCUAACUACGUGCCAGGCAGCCGCGGUA
This 563-nucleotide ribosomal RNA is filed under the name uncultured Clostridiaceae bacterium. RNAcentral describes it as "bacterial SSU rRNA". It matches the Rfam family "Bacterial small subunit ribosomal RNA", at positions 1 to 522 of the family's 1533-position model. The record is from RNAcentral. Lineage: Bacteria; Bacillati; Bacillota; Clostridia; Eubacteriales; Clostridiaceae.